This 505-nucleotide ribosomal RNA is filed under the name uncultured bacterium. RNAcentral describes it as "bacterial SSU rRNA". It matches the Rfam family "Bacterial small subunit ribosomal RNA", at positions 19 to 518 of the family's 1533-position model. The record is from RNAcentral.
AUGGCUCAGGAUGAACGCUAGCGGCAGGCUUAACACAUGCAAGUCGAGGGGCAGCGCGAGGUAGCAAUACUUGGCGGCGACCGGCGAAAGGGUGCGUAACGCGUGAGCAACUUGCCCGUAUCUGGGACAUAAGCGGUGGAAACGCCGUCUAAUUUCCCAUAACAACAGAGGCCGCAUGACCUUUGUUUGAAAGAUCCGUCGGAUACGGAUGGGCUCGCGAGACAUUAGCUAGUCGGCGUGGUAACGGCACACCGAGGCGACGAUGUCUAGGGGUUCUGAGAGGAAGGUCCCCCACACUGGAACUGAGACACGGUCCAGACUCCUACGGGAGGCAGCAGUGAGGAAUAUUGGUCAAUGGGCGCAAGCCUGAACCAGCCAUGCCGCGUGAAGGAAAUAAGGCCCUAUGGGUCGUAAACUUCUUUUGUGGUGGAGCAAUAAGGUGUACGUGUACACCGAUGAGAGUACAUCACGAAUAAGCAUCGGCUAACUCCGUGCCAGCCGCGGC